GACGAACGCUGGCGGCGUGCUUAACACAUGCAAGUCGAACGGAAAGGCCCUGCUUUUGUGGUGUGCUCGAGUGGCGAACGGGUGAGUAACACGUGAGUAACCUGCCCUUGACUUUGGGAUAACGUCAGGAAACUGGGGCUAAUACCGGAUAGGAGCUCCUGCUGCAUGGUGGGGGUUGGAAAGUUUCGGCGGUUGGGGAUGGACUCGCGGCUUAGCAGCUUGUUGGUGGGGUAGUGGCUUAACAAGGCUUUGACGGGUAGCCGGCCUGAGAGGGUGACCGGCCACAUUGGGACUGAGAUACGGCCCAGAGUCCUACGGGAGGCAGCAGUGGGGAAUAUUGCACAAUGGGCGGAAGCCUGAUGCAGCAACGCCGCGUGCGGGAUGACGGCCUUCGGGUUGUAAACCGCUUUCGCCUGUGACGAAGCGUGAGUGACGGUAAUGGGUAAAGAAGCACCGGCUAACUACGUG
RNAcentral lists this ribosomal RNA (468 nucleotides) under uncultured bacterium. Its description in RNAcentral is "partial 16S ribosomal RNA". It matches the Rfam family "Bacterial small subunit ribosomal RNA", at positions 28 to 507 of the family's 1533-position model. The record is from RNAcentral.